UACGAAGGGGGCUAGCGUUGCUCGGAAUCACUGGGCGUAAAGGGUGCGUAGGCGGGUAUUUAAGUCAGAGGUGAAAUCCUGGAGCUCAACUCCAGAACUGCCUUUGAUACUGAGUAUCUUGAGUACGGGAGAGGUGAGUGGAACUGCGAGUGUAGAGGUGAAAUUCGUAGAUAUUCGCAAGAACACCAGUGGCGAAGGCGGCUCACUGGCCCGUUACUGACGCUGAGGCACGAAGGCCAGGGGAGCAAACGGG
This 253-nucleotide ribosomal RNA is filed under the name uncultured bacterium. Its description in RNAcentral is "partial 16S ribosomal RNA". It matches the Rfam family "Bacterial small subunit ribosomal RNA", at positions 524 to 776 of the family's 1533-position model. The record is from RNAcentral.